GGUGGAGCAUGUGGUUUAAUUCGAUGCAACGCGAAGAACCUUACCUGGUCUUGACAUCCACGGAAGUUUUCAGAGAUGAGAAUGUGCCUUCGGGAACCGUGAGACAGGUGCUGCAUGGCUGUCGUCAGCUCGUGUUGUGAAAUGUUGGGUUAAGUCCCGCAACGAGCGCAACCCUUAUCCUUUGUUGCCAGCGGUCCGGCCGGGAACUCAAAGGAGACUGCCAGUGAUAAACUGGAGGAAGGUGGGGAUGACGUCAAGUCAUCAUGGCCCUUACGACCAGGGCUACACACGUGCUACAAUGGCGCAUACAAAGAGAAGCGACCUCGCGAGAGCAAGCGGACCUCAUAAAGUGCGUCGUAGUCCGGAUUGGAGUCUGCAACUCGACUCCAUGAAGUCGGAAUCGCUAGUAAUCGUGGAUCAGAAUGCCACGGUGAAUACGUUCCCGGGCCUUGUACACACCGCCCGUCACACCAUGGGAGUGGGUUGCAAAAGAAGUAGGUAGCUUAACCUUCGGGAGGGCGCUUACCACUUUGUGAUUCAUGACUGGGGUGAAGUCGUAACAAGGUAACCGUAGGGGAACCUGCGGUUGGAUCAC
Molecule: ribosomal RNA, 595 nt
Filed under: Escherichia coli
Lineage: Bacteria; Pseudomonadati; Pseudomonadota; Gammaproteobacteria; Enterobacterales; Enterobacteriaceae
Also listed under: 1 other name
Description: bacterial SSU rRNA
Rfam family: Bacterial small subunit ribosomal RNA
Source: RNAcentral